This 521-nucleotide ribosomal RNA is filed under the name Scutus antipodes. Its description in RNAcentral is "eukaryotic LSU rRNA". It matches the Rfam family "Eukaryotic large subunit ribosomal RNA", at positions 666 to 1168 of the family's 3401-position model. The record is from RNAcentral. Lineage: Eukaryota; Metazoa; Mollusca; Gastropoda; Lepetellida; Fissurellidae.
CCAAGAAGUCCAACACGUGCGCGAGUCAUUGGGUCUUACGAAACCUAAAGGCGCAAUGAAGGUGAAGGCGAGUUCGGCUCGUCGAGGUGAGAUCCCCGGUCGUAGGUGGUCGGGGCGCAUCACCGGCCCGUCCUCUCGGGGGCGGAGCAAGAGCGCACCUGUUGGGACCCGAAAGAUGGUGAACUAUGCCUGAGCAGGACGAAGCCAGAGGAAACUCUGGUGGAAGUCCGCCGCGAUUCUGACGUGCAAAUCGAUCGUCUAACUUGGGUAUAGGGGCGAAAGACUAAUCGAACCAUCUAGUAGCUGGUUCCCUCCGAAGUUUCCCUCAGGAUAGCUGGCGCUCAUUUUCGCAGUUUUAUCCGGUAAAGCGAAUGAUUAGAGGCCUUGGGGACGAAACGUCCUCAACCUAUUCUCAAACUUUAAAUGGGUAAGGAGUCGGACUCGCUCAAUUUGGAGUCCGGACCCGGAAUGCGAGUGCCAAGUGGGCCACUUUUGGUAAGCAGAACUGGCGCUGUGGAAAC